GGUAAAAUGGCUGAGUAAGCAUUAGGCUGUAAACCUAAAGACAGGGGGAUACCCCCCCUUUUUACCA
Molecule: transfer RNA, 67 nt
Filed under: Cercocebus atys (sooty mangabey)
Lineage: Eukaryota; Metazoa; Chordata; Mammalia; Primates; Cercopithecidae
Rfam family: tRNA
About the family: Transfer RNA (tRNA) molecules are approximately 80 nucleotides in length. Their secondary structure includes four short double-helical elements and three loops (D, anti-codon, and T loops).
Source: Rfam by way of RNAcentral